This 147-nucleotide unclassified non-coding RNA is filed under the name uncultured fungus. RNAcentral describes it as "sequence contains ITS1, 5.8S rRNA gene". The record is from RNAcentral. Lineage: Eukaryota; Fungi.
ACAUCCAAAACUUUUUUGCCUAUUUCGGUAGGCAAAAAUACACACCAAAUUAGUUGAAUUUAGACUGCAGUAAUCAAAUUUCUUUAACCACACUAAAAGACACAAAUUUAUCUACUAGGGAGUGCAUCCCUCAGCAGAAUAAAAAAA